Molecule: ribosomal RNA, 253 nt
Filed under: uncultured bacterium
Lineage: Bacteria
Description: partial 16S ribosomal RNA
Rfam family: Bacterial small subunit ribosomal RNA
Source: RNAcentral
GACGGAGGGUGCAAGCGUUGCUCGGAAUUACUGGGCGUAAAGGGCGCGUAGGCGGUCUGUUAAGUUCGGUGUGAAAGCCCCCGGCUCACCUGGGGAACUGCGCCGGAAACCGACAGACUCGAGUACCGGAGAGGAGGGUGGAAUUCCUGGUGUAGCGGUGAAAUGCGUAGAUAUCAGGAGGAACACCGGUGGCGAAGGCGGCCCUCUGGACGGAUACUGACGCUGAGGCGCGAAAGCGUGGGGAUCAAACAGG